This 111-nucleotide unclassified non-coding RNA is filed under the name Chryseobacterium takakiae. RNAcentral's name for it is "Flavo-1 RNA". Lineage: Bacteria; Pseudomonadati; Bacteroidota; Flavobacteriia; Flavobacteriales; Weeksellaceae. The record is from RNAcentral.
CUUUAGCCCUGAUUGAAGCUUUGUUUGAGCUCAUUUUUUUGUUUUCGGCGCGGCGGCGAAGCCGCCGCGCCGAAAACAAAAAAAUAGCGAGUGCGGAAAGCGGGAAACAGC